GGUUGUGGCUCACUGGUAGAGUGCUUGCCUAGCAUUCAUGAGGCACUGGGUUUGAUCCCUGGCACCA
Molecule: transfer RNA, 67 nt
Filed under: Marmota monax (woodchuck)
Lineage: Eukaryota; Metazoa; Chordata; Mammalia; Rodentia; Sciuridae
Description: tRNA.Ala
Source: RNAcentral